Molecule: long non-coding RNA, 383 nt
Filed under: Lepisosteus oculatus (spotted gar)
Lineage: Eukaryota; Metazoa; Chordata; Actinopteri; Semionotiformes; Lepisosteidae
Description: lncRNA (ENSLOCG00000022893.1)
Source: RNAcentral
CCUAAGUCAUGGUGCACAACUGACAGAGCUCCACUGAGCGCAGGGCUCGAAUUAGCUAGCCAGGGCUCUCCCUGCUCUUCAGAAAACAAAGCUUUGUCUGCUUGUUCUCUUACUUCCUGUACAGCACAGGAGCUGCUGCUGUUAGUCGAUAUAUAAAAAAAACAAUUGCGGCUUCCAAAUUGGCGUAAAAAAAUGAACUACUGCAGCUGUUAACAAGGAUUGAUUCUAUCUUUAGCCAUCGGUGGAAGACUACCAAAAUACGACUGUACAGAAAGUUUUUCCCACUCUUAAUCCUCCAAGAACUGUCUGGACCAGUAAGACCUAAACAUGUCAAGUCCUUUGACCCUUAUAGGUGCAGACAACUAGACUUGAGCUACACGUGA